This 253-nucleotide ribosomal RNA is filed under the name uncultured bacterium. RNAcentral describes it as "partial 16S ribosomal RNA". It matches the Rfam family "Bacterial small subunit ribosomal RNA", at positions 524 to 776 of the family's 1533-position model. The record is from RNAcentral.
UACAGAGGUCCCAAGCGUUGUUCGGAUUCAUUGGGCGUAAAGGGUGCGUAGGUGGCAUGGUAAGUCGGAUGUGAAAGCCCUUGGCUCAACUGAGGAAGUGCACCCGAAACUGAGUGGCUUGAGUACUAAAGAGGGUCGCGGAAUUCCCGGUGUAGAGGUGAAAUUCGUAGAUAUCGGGAGGAACACCGGUGGCGAAGGCGGCGACCUGGGUAGAUACUGACGCUGAGGCGCGAAAGCGUGGGGAGCAAACAGG